RNAcentral lists this long non-coding RNA (273 nucleotides) under Lotus japonicus. RNAcentral's name for it is "long non-coding RNA (LJAP_LNC000852)". Lineage: Eukaryota; Viridiplantae; Streptophyta; Magnoliopsida; Fabales; Fabaceae. The record is from RNAcentral.
GUGUAGGAAGGUGAUUAGGAAGAAAUACAAGAGUUGAUAGAGAAGUGGAUAGUUUUGAAGGCUUCUGUCAAAAAGGCGCUCAGCACCCUUGAAGAGCGCUCAGCACCAUUGCCACAGAAGAGGAAAAUGGAAGUUCUGUCAAAAGGGCGCCCAGCACACUUUAAAGGCGCUCAGCACCUUUUCAAUAGAUAGGGUAAUCUGUGCAAAAUGCGCUCAGCACAUGAAAAGUGCGCUCAGCAUGAUUAGGGCGGUGGCAAAACCCAUCAGUGAAGG